Ictalurus furcatus (blue catfish) is the source of this 1006-nucleotide non-coding RNA. Lineage: Eukaryota; Metazoa; Chordata; Actinopteri; Siluriformes; Ictaluridae. The record is from the annotation of a RefSeq genome assembly.
CCAGACAAAAAUGCACACUGUUUUGCCUUCUUUAUUAUUCAGAAUAAAAAAAAAAAGGGAAUCUUUUAAGUCAGUUUUUUUUCUUCAUUAAAGUUUUGUUAGAAAAUUAAAUUGAAUCGAAUCUUGGAGAAUGUAUCGUUACACCCCUACUUCCUAGUGUUGGUGUUUUACAAGCCAGCAGCCAGGGAAUUGUGAGAGAUUUUUAAAUAGUGUUGAGAUUUCUAAUUGAAAUAAAAACAAGAGUGAACACCUUCCACAAAGAGAAGUGGUUAUGUUGACAGAUUUUGUGCAAACAGGAAACAGUUCAUAUGAAGUUGUUUUGAUAAAGUAUAAAGCAUAUAGUGUUGUACCUCUAUUUAAAAUGCUUGAUUUAAUAAGGAAAGCACAGUAAAUACAAAUUCUGAGAAAUUAGGGUUUUGUUUUUUUUUGUCGUACUGGUUUCAGUUCUGUUUGUAUCAUGUCCGUUGUGAAAAUGCUUUCUGCAUUCAAAUCCCAUGCUUCAGUGAUCUGGGAGUGUUUAUAGCGCUGUGACUUUAACACUUCGUAACUGAGAGCUGCUGCUACAGCAACUUCACCCACAGCUACCAUGACUUUGAUCCCCGUCUUCAUCUGGACGCUGAUCCUCUGGACUCAAGAAUGCAGAGGUCAAGUCACAGUAACUCAGACUCCUGCAGUGAAAUCUGCUCUUCCAGGAGAAACAGUCACCAUCAACUGUAGAACCAGUCAAGCAGUGUACAAGGACUCACAUGGUGAAAGGUUAUUCUGGUAUCAGCAGAAAUCUGGAGAAGCUCCUAAACUCCUGAUUAAAUAUGUAAAGCAGAUACAGUCGGGUAUUCCAGCUCGUUUCAGUGGCAGUGGAUCUGGAUCUGAUUUCACUCUGACCAUCAGUGGAGUCCAGACUGAAGAUGCAGGAGAUUAUUACUGUCAGAGUCACCAUGAAAUCACUGGCUACUGGUUCACACAGUGUUUUAGAGUCGUACAAAAACCUCCCUCAGUCAGAUUGUAG